This 253-nucleotide ribosomal RNA is filed under the name uncultured bacterium. Its description in RNAcentral is "partial 16S ribosomal RNA". It matches the Rfam family "Bacterial small subunit ribosomal RNA", at positions 524 to 776 of the family's 1533-position model. The record is from RNAcentral.
GACGAACCACACGAACGUUAUUCGGAAUCACUGGGCUUAAAGGGUGCGUAGGCGGCGCGGAAAGUAGGGUGUGAAAUCCCUCGGCUCAACCGAGGAACUGCGCUCUAAACUACCGUGCUCGAGGGAGACAGAGGUGAGCGGAACUUAGGGUGGAGCGGUGAAAUGCGUUGAUAUCCUAAGGAACACCGGUGGCGAAAGCGGCUCACUGGGUCUCUUCUGACGCUGAGGCACGAAAGCUAGGGUAGCGAACGGG